AACGCCGUUCGUGAUUAUAUUAAGGAACGAGCG
RNAcentral lists this small RNA (33 nucleotides) under Propionibacterium australiense. Its description in RNAcentral is "CRISPR_Spacer". Lineage: Bacteria; Bacillati; Actinomycetota; Actinomycetes; Propionibacteriales; Propionibacteriaceae. The record is from RNAcentral.